RNAcentral lists this ribosomal RNA (373 nucleotides) under uncultured bacterium. Its description in RNAcentral is "bacterial SSU rRNA". It matches the Rfam family "Bacterial small subunit ribosomal RNA", at positions 28 to 402 of the family's 1533-position model. The record is from RNAcentral.
GACGAACGCUGGCGGCGUGCUUAACACAUGCAAGUCGAGCGGUAAGGCCCUUUCGGGGGUACACGAGCGGCGAACGGGUGAGUAACACGUGGGUGACCUGCCCUCAGCUCUGGGAUAAGCCUGGGAAACCGGGUCUAAUACUGGAUAUGACUCCAUGACGCAUGUUGGUGGGGUGGAAAGCCUUGUGCGGCUGAGGAUGGGCCCGCGGCCUAUCAGCUUGUUGGNGGGGUGAGGCCUACCAAGGCGACGACGGGUAGCCGGCCUGAGAGGGCGACCGGCCACACUGGGACUGAGACACGGCCCAGACUCCUACGGGAGGCAGCAGUGGGGAAUCUUGCGCAAUGGGCGAAAGCCUGACGCAGCGACGCCGCGU